UACGUAGGGUGCAAGCGUUAAUCGGAAUUACUGGGCGUAAAGCGCACGUAGGCGGAUCGAUCAGUCAGGGGUGAAAUUCCAGAGCUCAACUCUGGAACUGCCUUUGAUACUGUCGAUCUGGAGUACGGAAGAGGUGAGUGGAAUUCCGAGUGUAGAGGUGAAAUUCGUAGAUAUUCGGAGGAACACCAGUGGCGAAGGCGGCUCACUGGUCCAUUACUGACGCUGAGGUGCGAAAGCGUGGGGAGCAAACAGG
RNAcentral lists this ribosomal RNA (253 nucleotides) under uncultured bacterium. RNAcentral describes it as "partial 16S ribosomal RNA". It matches the Rfam family "Bacterial small subunit ribosomal RNA", at positions 524 to 776 of the family's 1533-position model. The record is from RNAcentral.